RNAcentral lists this ribosomal RNA (582 nucleotides) under uncultured bacterium. RNAcentral describes it as "bacterial SSU rRNA". It matches the Rfam family "Bacterial small subunit ribosomal RNA", at positions 331 to 929 of the family's 1533-position model. The record is from RNAcentral.
CCAGACUCCUACGGGAGGCAGCAGUGGGGAAUAUUGGACAAUGGGGGCAACCCUGAUCCAGCAAUUCUGUGUGCACGAAGAAGGUUUUCGGAUUGUAAAGUGCUUUCAGCAGGGAAGAAGUAAGUGACGGUACCUGCAGAAGAAGCGACGGCUAAAUACGUGCCAGCAGCCGCGGUAAUACGUAUGUCGCGAGCGUUAUCCGGAAUUAUUGGGCAUAAAGGGCAUCUAGGCGGCCUGACAAGUCAGGGGUGAAAACCUGCGGCUCAACCGCAGGCCUGCCUUUGAAACUGUAAGGCUGGAGUACCGGAGAGGUGGACGGAACUGCACGAGUAGAGGUGAAAUUCGUAGAUAUGUGCAGGAAUGCCGAUGAUGAAGAUAGUCCACUGGACGGAAACUGACGCUGAAGUGCGAAAGCCGGGGGAGCGAACAGGAUUAGAUACCCUGGUAGUCCCGGCCGUAAACGAUGAUUACUGGGUGUGGGCAGGAAGACUGUCUGUGCCGAAGCGAAUGCGAUAAGUAAUCCGCCUGGGGAGUACGGCCGCAAGGCUGAAACUCAAAGGAAUUGACGGGGGCCCGCACAAG